GACGAACGCUGGCGGCGUGCUUAACACAUGCAAGUCGAACGGAAAGGCCCUGCUUUUGUGGGGUGCUCGAGUGGCGAACGGGUGAGUAACACGUGAGUAACCUGCCCUUGACUUUGGGAUAACUUCAGGAAACUGGGGCUAAUACCGGAUAGGAGCUCCUGCUGCAUGGUGGGCGUUGGAAAUUUUCGGCGGGUGGGGAUGGACUGGCGGCUUAUCAGCUUGUUGGUGGGGUAGUGGCUUACCAAGGCUUUGACGGGUAGCCGGCCUGAGAGGGUGACCGGCGACAUUGGGACUGAGAUACGGCCCAGACUCCUACGGGAGGCAGCAGUGGGGAAUAUUGCACAAUGGGAGGAAGCCGGAUGCAGCAACGCCGCGUGCGGGAUGACGGCCUUCGGGUUGUAAACCGCUUUCGCCUGUGACGAAGCGGGAGUGACGGUAAUGGGUAAAGAAGCACCGGCUAACUACGUG
This 468-nucleotide ribosomal RNA is filed under the name uncultured bacterium. Its description in RNAcentral is "partial 16S ribosomal RNA". It matches the Rfam family "Bacterial small subunit ribosomal RNA", at positions 28 to 507 of the family's 1533-position model. The record is from RNAcentral.